AAUACCCUAUUAUUUUAAAAGUAAUUAAAUAAAUCUAAUUAGUAAUAGUUAAGUUCUUGAAAAUUAAAGAAUUUGGCGGUAUUUUAGUCUAUUCAGAGGAAUCUGUCCUAUAAUUGAUAAUCCACGAUUUUUUAUACCUAAUUUAUUAAUUUACAUAUCGCCGUAGUUUGAAUAUUUUUUGAAAAUUAUAAUAUUCAUAAUUUAUUUUUAUAAAAAAAAUCAGGUCAAGGUGUAGUUUAUAAUUGGGAAGAGAUGGGUUACAAUAAAAAUAUUUAUUAUGGAUUAAUUAAUUAAAUUUUUUUAUGAAGGUGGAUUUGAAAGUAAUUUUAUUCA
This 333-nucleotide ribosomal RNA is filed under the name Laparocerus edaphicus. RNAcentral describes it as "partial 12S ribosomal RNA". The record is from RNAcentral. Lineage: Eukaryota; Metazoa; Arthropoda; Insecta; Coleoptera; Curculionidae.